AUACGGAGGGGGCUAGCGUUGUUCGGAAUUACUGGGCGUAAAGCGCGCGUAGGCGGAUCGUUAAGUCAGGGGUGAAAGCCCGGAGCUCAACUCCGGAACUGCCCUUGAUACUGGCGAUCUCGAGUCCGGGAGAGGUGAGCGGAAUUCCUAGUGUAGAGGUGAAAUUCGUAGAUAUUAGGAGGAACACCAGUGGCGAAGGCGGCUCACUGGCCCGGUACUGACGCUGAGGUGCGAAAGCGUGGGUAGCAAACGGGAUUAGAAACCCUUGUAGUCC
RNAcentral lists this ribosomal RNA (274 nucleotides) under uncultured bacterium. Its description in RNAcentral is "partial 16S ribosomal RNA". It matches the Rfam family "Bacterial small subunit ribosomal RNA", at positions 523 to 796 of the family's 1533-position model. The record is from RNAcentral.